CUUGGUCAAUUAGAGGAAGUAAAAGUCGUAACAAGGUCUCCGUUGGUGAACCAGCGGAGGGAUCAUUACCGAGUUUACAACUCCCAAACCCCUGUGAACAUACCACUUGUUGCCUCGGCGGAUCAGCCCGCUCCCGGUAAAACGGGACGGCCCGCCAGAGGACCCCUAAACUCUGUUUCUAUAUGUAACUUCUGAGUAAAACCAUAAAUAAAUCAAAACUUUCAACAACGGAUCUCUUGGUUCUGGCAUCGAUGAAGAACGCAGCAAAAUGCGAUAAGUAAUGUGAAUUGCAGAAUUCAGUGAAUCAUCGAAUCUUUGAACGCACAUUGCGCCCGCCAGUAUUCUGGCGGGCAUGCCUGUUCGAGCGUCAUUUCAACCCUCAAGCACAGCUUGGUGUUGGGACUCGCGUUAAUUCGCGUUCCUCAAAUUGAUUGGCGGUCACGUCGAGCUUCCAUAGCGUAGUAGUAAAACCCUCGUUACUGGUAAUCGUCGCGGCCACGCCGUUAAACCCCAACUUCUGAAUGUUGACCUCGGAUCAGGUAGGAAUACCCGCUGAACUUAAGCAUAUC
RNAcentral lists this ribosomal RNA (569 nucleotides) under Fusarium oxysporum. RNAcentral's name for it is "eukaryotic LSU rRNA". The stretch from base 217 to 370 matches the Rfam family "5.8S ribosomal RNA". The record is from RNAcentral. Lineage: Eukaryota; Fungi; Ascomycota; Sordariomycetes; Hypocreales; Nectriaceae.